UUUCACUAGGGGAACUCUUGAUAAGAGCUGAGAAAAAAGUAGUUUACUUUGAAACCCUCAUUACCUGAACAGGCUUGUACCUGCGUAGGGAUGUGGUUAAUGC
RNAcentral lists this non-coding RNA (103 nucleotides) under uncultured Ferdinandcohnia sp. RNAcentral describes it as "TPP riboswitch (THI element)". It matches the Rfam family "TPP riboswitch aptamer (THI element)", at positions 6 to 98 of the family's 105-position model. Rfam says of the family: Vitamin B(1) in its active form thiamin pyrophosphate (TPP) is an essential coenzyme that is synthesised by coupling of pyrimidine and thiazole moieties in bacteria. The previously detected thiamin-regulatory element, thi box was extended, resulting in a new, highly conserved RNA secondary structure, the THI element, which is widely distributed in eubacteria and also occurs in some archaea. Lineage: Bacteria; Bacillati; Bacillota; Bacilli; Caryophanales; Bacillaceae. The record is from RNAcentral.